GCUCUGUGGCUGUGACUGCUGUGU
This 24-nucleotide unclassified non-coding RNA is filed under the name Mus musculus (house mouse). RNAcentral's name for it is "oocyte_clustered_small_RNA13879". Lineage: Eukaryota; Metazoa; Chordata; Mammalia; Rodentia; Muridae. The record is from RNAcentral.